This 308-nucleotide unclassified non-coding RNA is filed under the name plant metagenome. RNAcentral describes it as "partial contains 5.8S ribosomal RNA, internal transcribed spacer 2, and large subunit ribosomal RNA". The record is from RNAcentral.
CGUUUCGAGCGCUCAAAAGCUCAGGCCGAGCGCAGCAGACUCCGUGCGGCGCAGGACCUGCGGCAUGCCGCUGAUCAACUUGAACGGAAUAUCCCUCGCGGGCCCCUUGGAAAAAGCCUGGGCCGAGCCGAUCGGAUGCGGUAUCUGGUCGGCGAACUUCGAGAUCGAGCCGAUUCGCUCUCGAGCGACACCAGCUAGAUCGCGCCGCUCGGUUGCGAGGCGCGCUGACGCGAUAGCUGCUGGCAAACUCAAUCUGUGCCGGGUAUCUACCUUCGACAAGACGCGACCUACGUUGCGAUGAGCGAGAC